GUUUGUUUCAAGGUGGAAAAUCUCUCCGUGUUCAAACCUGAACAACUCUUCAUUGGGGCUGUGCAGGAUAUAAUCACAGCAACCUAUGCUUUUACAGAUGUUCAGAAAAUAAACGGUGAAAGUCAUUUCAUUUUCAAAUUUCGGCCGGAGCAGGAGCAAAAUUUUCAGUAAUCAAGCACGAAAAGAAUCCUUUGGAAGCAAAUCAAAUCCCUUAUAAAGCAAGAAUAUAUUGAACCUAUUCACAAGACCAUUCAUUCAAGUAACUAAGAAGUUAAAAUGCCGAAGAAAAUCUGCUGCUUACCAUGCACACUCCCGUGUGGACCCUGCGGCCCCUGUGGACCUUGCUGUGAUCCGUGUUGUCCGCCAGUGUGUGGCCCAUACCAACCGUGCUUUGGUACAUGCUCGCAGAUAGGGUGUGCGCCAUGUGGACCGUGCGGUCCGUGCGGACCAUAUGGACCAUGUUUACCAUGUGGACCUUGGGCGCCAUUGCCACCGUGUGUUCCAUGUGGACCUUGUAGCCCUUGCGGGCCUUGCGAGCCUUGUGGUCCGUGCGGACCUUACGGACCUUGCGGACCUUGCGGACCUUGCGGACUAUGUGGACCAUGUGGGCUUUGUAGAGAUUCAAACAACGCAUGUUAAAUGAAUAGUUCCAGAAUAUUUUUAAUUCAGAAAUAAAUGCUCUUCCAAAGUUGAAUUCUAA
This is a long non-coding RNA of Toxorhynchites rutilus septentrionalis, 700 nucleotides long. RefSeq lists it as uncharacterized. Lineage: Eukaryota; Metazoa; Arthropoda; Insecta; Diptera; Culicidae. The record is from RefSeq and is a predicted model, not a curated record. The transcript has 2 exons.